This 346-nucleotide long non-coding RNA is filed under the name Rattus norvegicus (Norway rat). RNAcentral describes it as "long non-coding RNA NONRATT021753". The record is from RNAcentral. Lineage: Eukaryota; Metazoa; Chordata; Mammalia; Rodentia; Muridae.
GCCUCUGGGGGAUACAGAUGAAGCAAUUCCCUUUAACAGAAUCAAUUCAGUGUAGAGACAGAGAAAUCAUUGAAGGCCCAACUUUCACUGAAAACAAACUUCAUGUACCAUUUCCAAAAUGAGUGAGCAGGAGGUCUCUUACUCAACUGUGAGAUUUAAAAAGUCUUCAGGGCGGCAGAACCAAGUGAGGCCUGAAGAGACUCAAACGGCCAGAGAAGCUGGCCACACAGAGAGGUCAGUCCCCUGGCAGCUCAUUGUGGUAGCUCUUGUAAUCCUCUGUUCCCUUCGGCUGGUAGCUGUUGGAAUGAUCCUGACAAACAUUUUUCAGUAUGCUCAUGAAAAACAU